Long non-coding RNA from Equus asinus (donkey), 2470 nucleotides. Lineage: Eukaryota; Metazoa; Chordata; Mammalia; Perissodactyla; Equidae. The record is from Ensembl.
AAGCACGCUGCCCGUGUAGGUUGGUUCCUGACUCCCGACCCUGACCUUUUCUUCCCUCAUCCAAGGAAACCCUUGUCUCCAUCCCUCCCACUCAUUUCAUCUUCAGGGCCCUUAUCUCCUCCUCAAAUUAUAAAUUUGUUCCAAAUCUCUUUCUCACUGAACUGUAAGCAACAAGAGGCCAGGCUCCCGUCUUCAUUUGCUCACUCUACUUUUUUUCACUUUUUCCAAGGCCCCGCAUAAUGACUGGAAAAGGACAGUUGUUAGAGAAACAAACAAGCAAGCAAACUACUAGAAAACUCCCUGUAUUUUCAACUUUCAUUACUGACUGUACUUUUUUUCAAGUACCAACAAUCAAGAUAUUUAGAUUGCAUGGAGGAACAAAAGUUUAAUUCCUCGUUUAAAAAAUUCCCUGUGUUGCAUUAAUUAGGAAUGUGGCAGCAAUAUGUUUUCUUCUAGUUCAUUUUUUUUCCUCGAGACAGACAUAUUUCAGUUAUGUACUGUGGCCAUCCAGUUUUUUGUGAGCUACUUGGAGUGUAACCGCUGUCUCUAACAUCAUUUUGAUGUCAAAAGGGAACUUACUGAGCCUGGCAUCGUUCUAAAUACUUUUGCAUAUUUAAAGCUAUUCCGUCUUCACAUAGCUAUGUAAAAUUGAUAUUUUUAAUUAUAAUUUUGCGGAAAAAGAAAUUAGAGGGGAAAUUAGAGAAGAUCAGAGAAGUUAAGUAGCUUGCCAAAGUCACACAGCUAGUGAAUAAAAUUAUUAGGAAGCUCUGUAUAACUCUAAAGCCCAUGCUUUCUCUGUCGUAUGAACUGACUUACAAGUAAAUAUUUUGAGACGGAGAAAAGAAGACCUCCUAAUUAAGUUCUAUUUUGGAUUAGUGGGAUCAACCUUCUGAGGAAACCAACAGUAAAAGUUGGACAAAAUCGUCGAUAAUGGAACUAAAACUUUUGUUCAGCAGAUUGGCCACCAGUUUUCACUGACAAAAUCCCACGUAGUUUUGGUGUGGAUGUAGCGACCGACUGUGUUUAACCAAAGAUAUGCCAAUCUGCUGUAAGUUUACUCACCAAUCAAAGCCAACGAUUCAAACCUGAUGACACGGAUGGUCAAAGGCUGGGAGCCAAGGCUGGCGGGCAGGUGUCUGAGGGAGCCUCUAGGCUCCGCAGAGGUGUGGAGCAGAGCCCCUGCUAGAUAUCACCCUGUGAUGACCCUGAGUAUUAGGGGCUGGGAAACUUGUCAAAAAAUAUGGAACUCUUAUGAAAGCAAUUCAGCCACUCCAGUUGAAUGGCAUCGUCUCUGCAGAGGGGCAUGUUUGCUUGACCACCAACCAUACGGCGGCUCUCAUCUCACAGUUUGCACACGGACGGUAUGAGGACUUCCUUCAUCAUUUCUUGUAAGAGAGGUCUAGAGGUGAUGAAUUCCUUCAGCUUUUGUUUAUAUGGGAAAGCUUUUAUUUCUCUGUCAUAUUUAAGUGCUUCUCCCUGCAGGGGCGUUAUAAAUCUCUGCCCUGAUGAACUCAGUGUGGCCAAUGGAAGGCGAGUAGAAGGCCAAGUUGCGUAUUGGCAGACAUUGUAAGAGCCAGAAUUUGCUACCCAUGUUCUCUUCCCUGCUGCCUUGAUCUUAGAAGAAUGUGUUGUGAUGUGGAGCCUUCAUUAACCUAAAUCUCUGAAUGACUACAGUGAACAGAGCCUGCUUGCCCACCCAUCCUUAAGGCACAUGGUGAGUGGGCAGAAAAUGAUCUUGGUUAUCUUGAGCCAAUGAUUUUUGAGGGUUAUUUGUUACCACAGCAUAAUCAAGCCUAUCCUAACUGACACGUGGGACCUAGUGUGGCAGUUCCCAAAGAGCUCUGAGAAUAACUCCUGAGAACCAGCUUUAAACAUCUACCAACCCCAGAGAACGAGGCCAGGUACCAGCCACGUUAGAAUUCCCGUCUCCUAUUCUUUCAUCACCCCUCUUCUGCCUCCAUCCUGGAAAAUCUUGGCUGGAAAGAGGGAAAUGAUGGACAUUAAAGAUGUGACUAUUUUGCAUUAUUAUCUAAGACUGUAUAAUCUAACUAUUGUGUUGGCAACUUAAUGUGAUCACAGGGCAAUUUGCAAGGCACCAGAAAAAAUAUGACACUGCCAGUGUUGAUCCAGUGGUGAGACAAAAAAAUUGUCCCUACUCACCUCAUCUCCGCCAAUUAAAAAACAAAGCUAAACUAAGCAAAUAAAAACAAAACAACCCAAAACUUUCCUCCAUGGAGCAGGAUUAUAGGAGAGUGGGAAACCAUAAAAAAUGAGACUCUUAAACACAUUUUAUGCCUUGUGCUUGUUUAACAUACCAGCUACAUAAAUAAAUCGAGAGAGUAGAUUUUAAGAUAAAGUUUUAAAUUGACUUCAGAACUAAAGUGUAUUUUUAAAUGCAAAUGAAUGGAUGGCACUUCUAUCUUGCAUUUAUAUAUAAAAACAAAAUUAGACAUUAAAGUUUAAACACUAA